RNAcentral lists this transfer RNA (66 nucleotides) under Cantharis pellucida. RNAcentral's name for it is "tRNA-Asn". Lineage: Eukaryota; Metazoa; Arthropoda; Insecta; Coleoptera; Cantharidae. The record is from RNAcentral.
UUAAUUGAAACCAAAAAGAGGUAUAUUACUGUUAAUAAUAAAACUGAGAAUUAUUCUCCAAUUAAA